Molecule: ribosomal RNA, 467 nt
Filed under: uncultured bacterium
Lineage: Bacteria
Description: partial 16S ribosomal RNA
Rfam family: Bacterial small subunit ribosomal RNA
Source: RNAcentral
GACGAACGCUGGCGGCGUGCUAACCCAUGCCAGUCGCACGGAAAGGCCCUGCUUUUGUGGGGUGCUCGAGUGGCGAACGGGUGAGUAACACGUGAGUAACCUGCCCUUGACUUUGGGAUAACUUCAGGAAACUGGGGCUAAUACCGGAUAGGAGCUCCUGCUGCAUGGUGGGGGUUGGAAAGUUUCGGCGGUUGGGGAUGGACUCGCGGCUUAUCAGCUUGUUGGUGGGGUAGUGGCUUACCAAGGCUUUGACGGGUAGCCGGCCUGAGAGGGUGACCGGCCACAUUGGGACUGAGAUACGGCCCAGACUCCUACGGGAGGCAGCAGUGGGGAAUAUUGCACAAUGGGCGGAAGCCUGAUGCAGCAACGCCGCGUGCGGGAUGACGGCCUUCGGGUUGUAAACCGCUUUCGCCUGUGACGAAGCGUGAGUGACGGUAAUGGGUAAAGAAGCACCGGCUAACUACGUG